ACUCCCACCAGCUUGGAGACAACAUGUGGUUCUUGACAACUCUGCUCCUUUGGGUUCCAGUUGAUGGGCAAGUGGAAAAACCUACAUCAGUAAUUUAAUCCUCAGGAGCCCCAGAUUCCCAACACCCAGAUGAGGAUUUAAUAACAAUGAACAGAGGUCUCUGCAGCAGGAGGACACUCUUAAAGGCUGGCUUUUACACCACAAAGGCAGUGAUCACUUUGCAGCCUCCAUGGGUCAGCGUGUUCCAAGAGGAAACCAUAACCUUGCACUGUGAGGUGCUCCAUCUGCCUGGGAGCAGCUCCACACAGUGGUUUCUCAAUGGCACAGCCACUCAGACCUCGACCCCCAGCUACAGAAUCACCUCUGCCAGUGUCAAUGACAGUGGUGAAUACAGGUGCCAGAGAGGUCUCUCAGGGCGAAGUGACCCCAUACAGCUGGAAAUCCACAGAGGCUGGCUACUACUGCAGGUCUCCAGCAGAGUCUUCAUGGAAGGAGAACCUCUGGCCUUGAGGUGUCAUGCGUGGAAGGAUAAGCUGGUGUACAAUGUGCUUUACUAUCGAAAUGGCAAAGCCUUUAAGUUUUUCCACUGGAAUUCUAACCUCACCAUUCUGAAAACCAACAUAAGUCACAAUGGCACCUACCAUUGCUCAGGCAUGGGAAAGCAUCGCUACACAUCAGCAGGAAUAUCACAAUACACUGUGAAAGGCCUCCAGUUACCAACUCCUGUCUGGUUUCAUGUCCUUUUCUAUCUGGCAGUGGGAAUAAUGUUUUUAGUGAACACUGUUCUCUGGGUGACAAUACGUAAAGAACUGAAAAGAAAGAAAAAGUGGAAUUUAGAAAUCUCUUUGGAUUCUGGUCAUGAGAAGAAGGUAAUUUCCAGCCUUCAAGAAGACAGACAUUUAGAAGAAGAGCUGAAAUGUCAGGAACAAAAAGAAGAACAGCUGCAGGAAGGGGUGCACCGGAAGGAGCCCCAGGGGGCCACGUAGCAGCGGCUCAGUUGGUGGCCAUCGAUCUGGACCGUCCCCUGCCCACUUGCUCCCCGUGAGCACUGCGUACAAACAUCCAAAAGUUCAACAACACCAGAACUGUGUGUCUCAUGGUAUAUAACUCUUAAAGCAAAUAAAUGAACUGACUUCAACUGG
Molecule: long non-coding RNA, 1142 nt
Organism: Homo sapiens (human)
Lineage: Eukaryota; Metazoa; Chordata; Mammalia; Primates; Hominidae
Gene: FCGR1BP
Product: Fc gamma receptor Ib, pseudogene
Source: Ensembl